Molecule: long non-coding RNA, 1058 nt
Filed under: Bos indicus x Bos taurus (hybrid cattle)
Lineage: Eukaryota; Metazoa; Chordata; Mammalia; Artiodactyla; Bovidae
Description: lncRNA (ENSBIXG00005022602.1)
Source: RNAcentral
CAAAUUAAAUGAUGACAGAUGAUUUAGAGACACUUUUACCCUACAAAAAACCAAAAAACAAAAAAACCCACCCCCAAAGUUCAUUUAUACUGGACAAUUUUGGAGAACUACAAAGUUUUUUUAAAAAUUUAUUUUAACUGAAGGGUAAUUGCUUUACAGUAUUGUGUUGGUUUCUACCAAACAUCAACGUGAAUCUCCAAAGGUCAACUUGAAUGCUGAUGGGUUUACCUACGUCCCCUCCCACCUCCCUCCCCAUCCCACCCCUCUAGGUUCUUAAGUUUUCGUUCCCUGAGUCAUACAGCAAAUUCCCAUUGGCUAUCUAGUUUACAUAUGGCAGUGAUGUUUUCAUAUUACUCUCUCCAUAUGCACCCCCCACUUCCUCCCCACAAAGCUGUGUUAGUAAGUCUCUUAGAGAACUACAAAGUUUUUAUACUUGCUGCACAUUGGAAAGAAAAUGUCAACAACUAGUUUCUUUUGUACCAUAUCUAUACACAGGAAAAAAAAAAAACUUGUUAAAAGGAAAAGAGGUUUCUGUAUUGUUAAUAUUUGACAGUUAAAGGGUUCCUUUUAAAUAUUUAACUUAAGGUUAAAUAUCCAUCUCUUACAGUUAUUAGACACAUCUUCAUAUCAAGGGUAAUAUACAAAGCACAGCAAUGUAACUCAAGUAUACUUCUUUAAAAACUUGGAAAAAUAUACUAAGAAUAUAUGAUUUAUAAUUUAAAAAAUUUAGAAAAGUGUGGGUAAACAAAGCUGAUGCAGUCAUUUGAAGGGUCCAGAUGAAACACCAUGGACUCAACAAUCUGUUCUUGCAGGGAGUAAAAUGCGCUGUGGCUGGUGCUGUCCGCUCUGCAGGCGAGCUGAGCCGGAGCACGCUGAGGAUGCUGCUGGCGGCUGAGAUGCGGUAUGUGAUCCAGAGAACCGUCAGGGCUUCUCCACCUCACUCGUGCUCUCUCAGCCUCCUUCCCUUUUUCCCUCCUGCUUCCCUGGCCGCCUCCCAUCUUCCCCGGCCGCCUCCCAUCUUCCCCUUCCCCCCCACUUGCCCUCCCCCCCACCUGCCC